CAUGUCACCACUACUCAUCAUCAUCGGAGGUGGUGAUUGCUGCCACCCACCUCCACCUGGCCCAAUUGCACCUGGAGGUGGUGGGACCUUGCCCAUGUGGUCCAUCCCUUGGGGUUGCCAUUUCGGAAGUGAUCCAUUGUUGUAGUAUCCACCACCUACACAGGUAACCAUAUUCACCAACACAUGAAUGGUUGAAAGAUGCAAUAAAACAAACACCACAGACACUGACAAUUAUUACAUUGUGAGAUCAUGGAAAUUCACAAGCCUUACAGAUUACAUAGCGAGACCACAUUUUCCAAUGCCUUGCUCUUCAUAACGUAACUCUUCUCACAAUAGUUCAGGAAAUUAAUUUUAUAUUACUAAUGUCACCUCUCCUGUCUCUAAUAGAAGCACAGGACUAGUUAAAUGCAAUGGCACUCUACUGGAAGCUCUACGGGAGACACGAGUACUUGAUUUGCAUAAACUUAGAUCUUCAAACAUCGAUCAAAGUUCAUUCAAAAUACUGAUACUUGCUUGCAUCAAACAGUAGCCCAUCCAGCUAAAUUGAAACCAUCUUUAACAAGAACUAUAAAUUAAUCGCAGCGAUGCUUCACAUAUCAUUAAUGAAACAACAUGAGAAAGGUGAUCAAAAAGAAUAACAGCAGAUGAUCAAUUCAGUAUGUAGGAUGUUUAUGUUUCUGUGCAUUGCUUCUACCUAAUUGAAAUGCUUAAAUUCCUUCCAUGCUGUUGUACUUGAAAUAGAAGAACUUGAGAGUUUAGCUAGAUAAAUAACCAUUGCAGGCAAAACUAGCUCAAAAUACCUUUGAUCAUUGGAGAAUCAUAAUACCGCAUGCUAUUGCGAUGCUUCUUCUUCUUAAGGCAGCAGCAUAAUGCAACAGCCAGCAAAGCAAUGACGAACAGUGUGAUGCCCACGGCAGCCCCCACGAUAAGAGGCACAUCAGUUGUGUCAGUAUCGCUGCUUCCUCCACCAUCGCCGCCGCUGCCCCCGCCGCCGCUAUUCUUGACAUUCUUCGAUGACUUCGAGUCGUCUGUGGUCGAUGACGAAGGUGAUGUGUUCCUAGAACUCUUUGGAGGGGGUGGGAUUGCACCAGAAUGGUGUGUUGAGGACAUAGACUGAGGUGGUGGUGGUGGCGGCGGUGUCACAACAGACUGGGUUGGUGGAGGUGGCGGAGAGGGAGACUUUUUCGACUCAGGUGGUGGGGAUGGUGGCGAAGGUGGGGGCGAUGAUGGAGGUGGAUCGGCCGGGGUGGCCGGUGGAGGUGCUGUUGAGGGUGGUGGCGAUGGUGGUGGAGAUGCUGGGGGUGGUGAUGCCUC
Molecule: long non-coding RNA, 1314 nt
Filed under: Elaeis guineensis (African oil palm)
Lineage: Eukaryota; Viridiplantae; Streptophyta; Magnoliopsida; Arecales; Arecaceae
Description: long non-coding RNA (EGUI_LNC025580)
Source: RNAcentral